GCUUCUUCAACUGUCAACAUCAGUGUACAGAGCUUUGGUGGACUUUGGAUUGAGGUGGAAACUCCUUAGCCAAGCCUGAGGAGACGCUGGUGCUACAGGCUCUGAUUUGGAUAACUGGUCUCCAAUUUGUCCAUGAUCUUCCCAGGCCCAAGAUGUCAUUUCAGAGUUAAAUGCUUGUUAAUAUGACAAGAAGACAAAGAGAUAAAGCAUUGUAUAUUUAAAACCACAGAAAAAUCUGUAAGACUGCUGGAUCUCCUCUCUCUCUCCCUGUCUCUCUCUCCAUCCUUUAUGGCUUUUCCCUUAGGAUCUGAAAAAAGGAUAUGAUUAAUAUUUCACAUUUAGUUAAGGACCACAAAGGUAGUAGAAGUCUGGACAAGUCUUCCAAAAUUUUAUUUGUAACUAUUAUAAACAAAUUUUGAAAAGCCAAUUAUUCCCUAGCAUGCUUUAAGUUGACA
RNAcentral lists this long non-coding RNA (455 nucleotides) under Homo sapiens (human). RNAcentral's name for it is "HSALNT0401247". Lineage: Eukaryota; Metazoa; Chordata; Mammalia; Primates; Hominidae. The record is from RNAcentral.